This 563-nucleotide long non-coding RNA is filed under the name Elaeis guineensis (African oil palm). RNAcentral describes it as "long non-coding RNA (EGUI_LNC016840)". Lineage: Eukaryota; Viridiplantae; Streptophyta; Magnoliopsida; Arecales; Arecaceae. The record is from RNAcentral.
GAUGAUUGGGUUCAUUAGUUGCUAAGGUAUUUUGGUUUAGCCCAUGUCAAUUAGAUCGGUCAUAUGAUGACUGAUUAAAUGAGAUCUUACCUAAACCUCCCCAAUCAAUAUUAAGCCUUAUGGUCUUCCACUGUUCUAGAAGUACAGGCGUGAUAUUGGCAUUGACUGUUUUUGACUGGUUACAGUGGUUUAGUUGCAUCGAGAAUAUGCAACCACUCUACGAAUAAAGAGUUGCUCCAAGGUGAAGAUGGGGUUGGGCCUAAUAUGUGUUAUCUGAGGGACUUAAUGACGGCUUCACAUCUGCUUGUAAACGGUGGGUCUGGCUUAACUAAGGAGUGGGACAAUAUGUAUUAUCUGAGCUCAUAUGAUUUAGAAAUCAAGUCGCUGCAAUAUACCUAGAGAAGCAUUGGAGCAAAGAGUUGCCUACGCAUCGGUGUGCAUGUUAUCAAUAAUUGUUAGGUGAGGUGCAUAGCAUCAGUAAGACCGUAGCACCCACUAGAAAUCUUGCAUUGGUCACGUUGGAUUUUUGUUUUUCAUCCGGAGAGUAUCGAAAUCCGAAAGNN